GUGAAAGGUUCUGUGUAAAAGCGACA
RNAcentral lists this non-coding RNA (26 nucleotides) under Homo sapiens (human). The record is from RNAcentral. Lineage: Eukaryota; Metazoa; Chordata; Mammalia; Primates; Hominidae.